Molecule: transfer RNA, 67 nt
Filed under: Hoplopleura sp.
Lineage: Eukaryota; Metazoa; Arthropoda; Insecta; Psocodea; Hoplopleuridae
Description: tRNA-Gln
Source: RNAcentral
UCAAGAAGUGAAUUUAAUCACUAUUCCCAAAGUCAAAAUUUGGAGUCAUUCAAUAGACUAUCUUGAA